This 465-nucleotide ribosomal RNA is filed under the name uncultured bacterium. RNAcentral's name for it is "partial 16S ribosomal RNA". It matches the Rfam family "Bacterial small subunit ribosomal RNA", at positions 339 to 795 of the family's 1533-position model. The record is from RNAcentral.
CUACGGGUGGCUGCAGUGGGGAAUAUUGGACAAUGGGCGCAAGCCUGAUCCAGCCAUGCCGCGUGUGUGAAGAAGGCCUUUUGGUUGUAAAGCACUUUAAGCGAGGAGGAGGCUCCUUUAGUUAAUACCUAAAGAGAGUGGACGUUACUCGCAGAAUAAGCACCGGCUAACUCUGUGCCAGCAGCCGCGGUAAUACAGAGGGUGCGAGCGUUAAUCGGAUUUACUGGGCGUAAAGCGUGCGUAGGCGGCUUUUUAAGUCGGAUGUGAAAUCCCUGAGCUUAACUUAGGAAUUGCAUUCGAUACUGGAAAGCUAGAGUAUGGGAGAGGAUGGUAGAAUUCCAGGUGUAGCGGUGAAAUGCGUAGAGAUCUGGAGGAAUACCGAUGGCGAAGGCAGCCAUCUGGCCUAAUACUGACGCUGAGGUACGAAAGCAUGGGGAGCAAACAGGAUUAGAUACCCCUGUAGUC